UGGUGGAGAAGUGAGGCACCAAAAAUGAGGUUGUGCGACUCUUCAGAGAAACACUAGAGGAUUAAUUCCGAAGAGUCCUUCUGCAUGAAGUGACUCUUAAAAUUAAUUCAGAUAAUUUCAUGUAUUAGAUAAGACUUGGACCAAUGUUUCAAAGGUGGAAGGGUGUGAUUUUUGGGUGUGGGAAUUGGGUUGGAAUGGUGCGAAUGCAUUCGAUCUUCGGAUAUAAAAGGGGAUGCGCGUCGGGGUUCU
Molecule: long non-coding RNA, 249 nt
Filed under: Elaeis guineensis (African oil palm)
Lineage: Eukaryota; Viridiplantae; Streptophyta; Magnoliopsida; Arecales; Arecaceae
Description: long non-coding RNA (EGUI_LNC052474)
Source: RNAcentral